UGAGGGUUUAACGAACGCGGAACCUCACAGGAAGCACCGUGGCAGAGGCCACUGGAGAGGUCACCAUGAGAUGGCUCCUUCCAGCCUUGGAAAUCACGGGCACUUCCUUUGUGUGGGAGCCAAAUGCUUUGUGCAGCCCAAGGACCGGCUCCCCCAGAGCUCCUGACGCACACGGCCCUGGGCCCGGACACCACGUCACGGUGACACGGGGCAGGAGCUCCAGGAAUUCUGUCCUUGUUGGGUUCCUGGCUGCUCUGUGACACACAGGGCAGGAGCUCCAGGAAUUCUGUCCUUGUUCAGGUUCCUGGCUGCUCUGUGACACUGGCCUGAGCUGGGGGCACUGGGAGAACACCAGAGCACACUGGGAGCUCAGAGCUGAAAUCCAGGCUCUGGCUCUGGGCCGAGCCGUGAGAUCUCUGCACGACCUGUGCUUUCCCAGAGCUCCUGAUUCCACCUCCUCUUCCUGCCUGCAGGCCUCCUCCUGCGACUUUAGGGGAUGCAUCUAGUGUCACUUUAACUGGAGAAAAAAACAGAAAUGGUUCCAAAGGAGAAGAGCAGAUCCUACAUUAACAGACAGUGGCACCGAGCUUUUCCUCAUCCCCACUGGGAAACAACACGAGUUCCAAGCACGGAAUGGCAGCGAGUGCCUAAAUCCAUAUUUUAAUCAAUAAAUGCCUGGAGAAUGCCGGGCUGAGCUGAUUUCCACAUG
This is a long non-coding RNA of Cyanistes caeruleus (blue tit), 709 nucleotides long. RefSeq lists it as uncharacterized. The record is from RefSeq and is a predicted model, not a curated record. NCBI's taxonomy places the organism in Eukaryota, Metazoa, Chordata, Aves, Passeriformes, Paridae.